GUUUGAUCCUGGCUCAGGAUGAACGCUAGCGGCGUGCCUAACACAUGCAAGUCGAACGUGAGAGGGUACUUGUAUCCUUGAAAGUGGCGGACGGGUGAGUAAGACGUAGGUGACCUGCCUUGAAGUGGGGGAUAACCAUUGGAAACGAUGGCUAAUACCGCAUAAGCUGGUGAUGAUGGGAAUCGUUAUCAGGAAAGCUUUUAGUGCUUUGAGAGGGGCCUACGGCCGAUUAGCUAGUUGGUGAGGUAAAGGCUCACCAAGGCGAUGAUCGGUAGCUGGUCUGAGAGGACGAUCAGCCACACGGGAACUGAGACACGGUCCCGACUCCUACGGGGGCAGCAGUCAGGAAUAUUCGGCAAUGGGGGGCAACCCGUGACCGAGCAACGCCGCGUGGAGGAUGACGGUUUUCGGAUUGUAAACUCCUUUCUCAGGGAGAGCGAGGACGGUACCUGGGGGAAUAAGUCACGGCUAACUACGU
This 478-nucleotide ribosomal RNA is filed under the name uncultured bacterium. RNAcentral describes it as "bacterial SSU rRNA". It matches the Rfam family "Bacterial small subunit ribosomal RNA", at positions 11 to 506 of the family's 1533-position model. The record is from RNAcentral.